CUGCAGCUAUGGGGACAUGGUGCCCAAUACCAUCGCGGGGAAGAUCUUUGGGUCGAUUUGUUCGCUGAGUGGCGUGCUGGUCAUUGCUCUGCCCGUGCCCGUCAUCGUGUCCAAC
Molecule: regulatory RNA element, 115 nt
Organism: Lepisosteus oculatus (spotted gar)
Lineage: Eukaryota; Metazoa; Chordata; Actinopteri; Semionotiformes; Lepisosteidae
Rfam family: Potassium channel RNA editing signal
About the family: This family represents a group of sequences related to the human potassium channel Kv1.1 hairpin element which directs the efficient modification of an adenosine to inosine by an adenosine deaminase acting on RNA (ADAR). The ADAR modification causes an isoleucine/valine recoding event which lies in the ion-conducting pore of the potassium channel. It is thought that this editing event targets the process of fast inactivation and allows a more rapid recovery from inactivation at negative potentials.
Source: Rfam